GUUUGAUCAUGGCUCAGGAUGAACGCUGGCGGCGUGCUUAACACAUGCAAGUCGAACGGGAAAUAUUUCAUUGAGACUUCGGUGGAUUUGAUCUAUUUCUAGUGGCGGACGGGUGAGUAACGCGUGGGUAACCUGCCUUAUACAGGGGGAUAACAGUCAGAAAUGGCUGCUAAUACCGCAUAAGCGCACAGAGCUGCAUGGCUCAGUGUGAAAAACUCCGGUGGUAUAAGAUGGACCCGCGUUGGAUUAGCUAGUUGGUGGGGUAACGGCCCACCAAGGCGACGAUCCAUAGCCGGCCUGAGAGGGUGAACGGCCACAUUGGGACUGAGACACGGCCCAGACUCCUACGGGAGGCAGCAGUGGGGAAUAUUGCACAAUGGGGGAAACCCUGAUGCAGCGACGCCGCGUGAAGGAAGAAGUAUCUCGGUAUGUAAACUUCUAUCAGCAGGGAAGAUAGUGACGGUACCUGACUAAGAAGCCCCGGCUAACUACGUGCCAGCAGCCGCGGUAAUACGUAGGGGGCAAGCGUUAUCCGGAUUUACUGGGUGUAAAGGGAGCGUAGACGGUGUGGCAAGUCUGAUGUGAAAGGCAUGGGCUCAACCUGUGGACUGCAUUGGAAACU
Molecule: ribosomal RNA, 622 nt
Filed under: uncultured bacterium
Lineage: Bacteria
Description: bacterial SSU rRNA
Rfam family: Bacterial small subunit ribosomal RNA
Source: RNAcentral